UACGGAGGAUGCGAGCGUUAUCCGGAUUUAUUGGGUUUAAAGGGUGCGUAGGUGGUUAAUUAAGUCUGAUGUGAAAGCCCACGGCUUAACCGUGGAGGGUCAUUGGAAACUGGUUGACUUGAGUGCAGAAGAGGGAAGUGGAAUUCCAUGUGUAGCGGUGAAAUGCGUAGAUAUUAGGAGGAACACCAGUGGCGAAGGCGGCUUACUGGACUGUAACUGACGUUGAGGCUCGAAAGCGUGGGGAGCAAACAGG
RNAcentral lists this ribosomal RNA (253 nucleotides) under uncultured Turicibacter sp. RNAcentral describes it as "partial 16S ribosomal RNA". It matches the Rfam family "Bacterial small subunit ribosomal RNA", at positions 524 to 776 of the family's 1533-position model. Lineage: Bacteria; Bacillati; Bacillota; Erysipelotrichia; Erysipelotrichales; Turicibacteraceae. The record is from RNAcentral.